Molecule: ribosomal RNA, 498 nt
Filed under: uncultured bacterium
Lineage: Bacteria
Description: partial 16S ribosomal RNA
Rfam family: Bacterial small subunit ribosomal RNA
Source: RNAcentral
AUUGAACGCUGGCGGCAUGCCUUACACAUGCAAGUCGAACGGUAACAGGUCUUCGGAUGCUGACGAGUGGCGAACGGGUGAGUAAUACAUCGGAACGUGCCUAGUAGUGGGGGAUAACUACUAGAAAGAGUGGCUAAUACCGCAUGAGAUCUACGGAUGAAAGCAGGGGAUCGCAAGACCUUGUGCUACUAGAGCGGCCGAUGGCAGAUUAGGUAGUUGGUGGGAUAAAAGCUUACCAAGCCGACGAUCUGUAGCUGGUCCGAGAGGACGAUCAGCAACACUGGGACUGAGACACGGCCCAGACUCCUACGGGAGGCAGCAGUGGGGAAUUUUGGACAAUGGGCGCAAGCCUGAUCCAGCAAUGCCGCGUGCAGGAUGAAGGCCUUCGGGUUGUAAACUGCUUUUGUACGGAACGAAAAGCCCCGGGUUAAUACCCUGGGGUCAUGACGGUACCGUAAGAAUAAGCACCGGCUAACUACGUGCCAGCAGCCGCCGUAA